Molecule: ribosomal RNA, 547 nt
Filed under: uncultured bacterium
Lineage: Bacteria
Description: bacterial SSU rRNA
Rfam family: Bacterial small subunit ribosomal RNA
Source: RNAcentral
UGGGGAAUAUUGCGCAAUGGGGGAAACCCUGACGCAGCCAUGCCGCGUGAAUGAAGAAGGCCUUCGGGUUGUAAAGUUCUUUCGGUAUUGAGGAAGGUUGAUGUGUUAAUAGCACAUCAAAUUGACGUUAAAUACAGAAGAAGCACCGGCUAACUCCGUGCCAGCAGCCGCGGUAAUACGGAGGGUGCGAGCGUUAAUCGGAAUAACUGGGCGUAAAGGGCACGCAGGCGGUUAUUUAAGUGAGGUGUGAAAGCCCUGGGCUUAACCUGGGAAUUGCAUUUCAGACUGGGUAACUAGAGUACUUUAGGGAGGGGUAGAAUUCCACGUGUAGCGGUGAAAUGCGUAGAGAUGUGGAGGAAUACCGAAGGCGAAGGCAGCCCCUUGGGAAUGUACUGACGCUCAUGUGCGAAAGCGUGGGGAGCAAACAGGAUUAGAUACCCUGGUAGUCCACGCUGUAAACGCUGUCGAUUUGGGGGUUGGGGUUUAACUCUGGCGCCCGUAGCUAACGUGAUAAAUCGACCGCCUGGGGAGUACGGCCGCAAGGUUA